GCUACGGGUGGCAGCAGUGGGGAAUUUUGGACAAUGGGCGCAAGCCUGAUCCAGCCAUGCCGCGUGCAGGAUGAAGGCCUUCGGGUUGUAAACUGCUUUUGUACGGAACGAAAAGGUGCCUUCUAAUAAAGGGCGCUCAUGACGGUACCGUAAGAAUAAGCACCGGCUAACUACGUGCCAGCAGCCGCGGUAAUACGUAGGGUGCGAGCGUUAAUCGGAAUUACUGGGCGGAUUUUGUGCGCAGGCGGUGAAAUCCCCGGGCUCAACCUGGGAACUGCCUUUGUGACUGCAAGGCUGGAGUGCGGCAGAGGGGGAGGGAAUUCCGCGUGUAGCAGUGAAAUGCGUAGAUAUGCGGAGGAACACCGAUGGCGAAGGCAAUCCCCUGGGCCUGCACUGACGCUCAUGCACGAAAGCGUGGGGAGCAAACAGGAUUAGAUACCCGAGUAGUC
Molecule: ribosomal RNA, 449 nt
Filed under: uncultured bacterium
Lineage: Bacteria
Description: partial 16S ribosomal RNA
Rfam family: Bacterial small subunit ribosomal RNA
Source: RNAcentral